AGGUGUGAUCAUACCAUCACUAAUGCACUAGAUCCCAUAAGAACUCAGCAGAUAAGCGUGCCUGGGCGAGAGUAGUACUUGGAUAAGUGACCUCCUAGUAAGUCCUCGUGUUGCACCUC
This 119-nucleotide ribosomal RNA is filed under the name Lupinus angustifolius (narrow-leaved blue lupine). The record is from RNAcentral. Lineage: Eukaryota; Viridiplantae; Streptophyta; Magnoliopsida; Fabales; Fabaceae.